UGCUGUGCCGGUCAGUAUUUUCACUCACAGUAGAUAAGAAUGCAGUAUUAGAGUAAGUAUGAAAUUUCACUGUUUUAACAGUGAUUUUUCAAUAACACAAUGGCUCUUUAAUGUGUAGUAUGGACAUGGACUUAGUUCAGGAUAGGACAGAGCACUCAAACUGAAUUUUCCAAAUUAUAUAUCUUUUUUAAGACUAUUUCACAUGUCAGGGUCCCUCAUUUUUGGCCUAGCACCUGGAUUUUUAAAUGCCCCCUAAACCUACUCAGCAUUCAUCUUCUCAUGUCUUCUGUCUCUUGAAAUGCCAGUAGAGUGCAAGUAAUGAUGUGCUUAGGCACAACUGCAUCGAGUUAAAGGUGGCUUCCAUUUUAGAUAGUUCCAAGGUCAUAUGCAAAAUAUGAAAAUUUGAGCUCUUUACUGCUGGUCAGAACCUUAAUAUGUUCCAUGACCCUACAGUAGACUCAACCUAUAAAAUGAGAGAAGCUUAAUAAAUCUCUCUGUAAUAAGUAUUACACAUUAUGACAAGGAAAACUUAGAUCAAGCUUAUCCUUUGAAGUUUUAAUGGACAUUCCAAUUUGAUGACAGCAACUCACCUGUGCUUGUAGUAAGUUCGCAAAGCCUGCAGCAGCUCCAGUCAUCUUGGACUAGAGCUUUGGACGACAAUGAACUCAGGCAACUGCGAGCUUCAAAAGCCUUAUUGAAAUAUUCCAGCUCUGCUCGUACCAGGCAUUGCAGGCAAACUUUUAAAUACAUUUCUCUGUAUCAAAGAGUAUUUCUAUCUUGAGCUGUUCAUAAUAAUUUUGUUCUGUAAUAAAAUUGCAAAGCCUUCCAGUCUGAAAAGGAUUAAUCAGAUAUUCUCCUUUGCUCCACCCUUGUGCAAGCAAGAAGAGGGAAAAAAGAGCACAGCAGGGCGAAGAGAAAGGAAAACUGGCUCUUGGAUCUGUAUGCUUCUCAUUGCUCUGUGAUCACAUCAUGAAGUAGUCCUGUGAACCUUGUCAGGACAGCAGAUGUUUUCACAGUCCUUGGUCA
Molecule: long non-coding RNA, 1026 nt
Filed under: Anser brachyrhynchus (Pink-footed goose)
Lineage: Eukaryota; Metazoa; Chordata; Aves; Anseriformes; Anatidae
Description: lncRNA (ENSABRG00000013935.1)
Source: RNAcentral